Molecule: ribosomal RNA, 301 nt
Filed under: uncultured bacterium
Lineage: Bacteria
Description: partial 16S ribosomal RNA
Rfam family: Bacterial small subunit ribosomal RNA
Source: RNAcentral
CAGUAGCCGCGGGAAUACGUAGGGUGCAAGCGUUAAUCGGAAUUACUGGGCGUAAAGCGUGCGCAGGCGGUUAUAUAAGACAGAUGUGAAAUCCCCGGGCUCAACCUGGGAACUGCAUUUGUGACUGUAUAGCUAGAGUACGGCAGAGGGGGAUGGAAUUCCGCGUGUAGCAGUGAAAUGCGUAGAUAUGCGGAGGAACACCGAUGGCGAAGGCAAUCCCCUGGGCCUGUACUGACGCUCAUGCACGAAAGCGUGGGGAGCAAACAGGAUUAGAUACCCCGGUAGUCCCUGUCUCUUAUAC